This 108-nucleotide Y RNA is filed under the name Propithecus coquereli (Coquerel's sifaka). RNAcentral describes it as "Y RNA (ENSPCOG00000003366.1)". It matches the Rfam family "Y RNA". From Rfam's summary of the family: Y RNAs are components of the Ro ribonucleoprotein particle (Ro RNP), in association with Ro60 and La proteins. The Y RNAs and Ro60 and La proteins are well conserved, but the function of the Ro RNP is not known. In humans the RNA component can be one of four small RNAs -- hY1, hY3, hY4 and hY5. Lineage: Eukaryota; Metazoa; Chordata; Mammalia; Primates; Indriidae. The record is from Rfam by way of RNAcentral.
GGCUGGUCCAAAUGUAGUGAGUUAUCUCACUUGAUUGUUCACAGUCAGUUACAGAUUGAACUCCUUGUUCUACUACUUUCCCCCCUUCCCGCGCUUGACUAGUCUUUA